GAUAGCCUUUUUUAUGAAUAGGACCCUCGUGCUCCAGAGGCGGAUCCAAAGGCAGUCGCUUACCUAGGUACUUCGGUGUAGCAUAUAUAGCUGCAUACCUUUUUCACUGUGUCAAAGCCUCUUUACUUUUGAAGAUUCGCCGCCCUUGAAGUCUUGUUGCCGUCGAAGGCUCUCGCCGUCGAAGGUUCUCGCCGUCCAAGGCUCGUCACCGGUGAAGGCUCACCGCCGUCGAAGGCUCGCUGCUGUGGAAGGCUUUGCCGCACUCUGCCGUCGCCGAACUGUCGAAGGUUCUACCACCAUCGGUCGAAGAUUCUGAGAACAGUUCUCCUGUGUAAAUAUGGAACCCUAAGCUACAAAUGUUUUUCCUGUGUUGUUCAAACAUUUUUGAAAUGCAUUUUCAGAUUUAUGUAAGGUUUUUUUCUUCCCCUUCUCCUCAUUUUGGUUCUGGGGUGCUCUAAAAAUUAAUCUGUGUUUCCUUGGUUUCUAGGUCAUUAAGGUUUGGGGCUGUGCUGCUUGCCUUCUUCUUUUCUUCGUCCACUCUCACAAAGUUUGGAGAGGAUAAGAAGCGAACACUAAGGAAGGUGGUCAAAGAAACUGGUGAGUUCUUUUUUGUCUGCCUAGAGGCUUUGAUUUUGAAUAUCUUUGUAAAAGGUCAAUUGGUUGUGUGUUUUUCUAGGUUAGGAAUGAUUGCUGCCCUAUUUGGAUGGAUUAUUCUGUGGAGUUACCCAUAUGAUAAGCCCCGUCUAAUCAUAACCUUCAAGGUCCUUAAUCUAGCCAAAUAACAUUAUCUGAUCCAUAUAUUAAUCCUCACCUACUGCCACAUUGUCUUGUUAUAAUUUAAUUGUUUGAGUUGCAUGGGAGUCAGUUUAAGUCCAAAAGUUUAAAGAAAUAUUUAUUCUUCCUUCAUAGCACUGAAAAGCUUUAAAGAAAUAUUUUAUAGGAAAAAGAAGUCUCAAGAUCAAUAUAUGGGAAAUUUUAAUGAUAUCUAACACUUCUCUUAAUUUCCAGGUGACUUUUAUGUAGCUUAAUUUCUAGUGAUCUGCUUGAUUUUUAUAAUGGACUGCCUUUAAAAUUUUAAGUGUAUGCUAAUACUGUUUGGGUUGUGAGAGCAUUGUAAGUGACAAUACUUUUGUAAAAGUUGUCGUGUGCAUGCAACAGAAACUCCUAUAAACAUAGAGGUAAUUGUUAACCAGUGUUGCUUUCGAGGAAUUAUCUGAAGGGAAUUGGUUUAUAUUUGGUUGUAGAUUAUAGUAAUUCCUUUUAUCCAAGUUCUAGUAAAAUAAUUCUGAAUAUGUACUUGGUGUGUUGAAUUUUGGUAGUUUUUCUUACUGUCACAUGUAAGUACUGCCUAUUAGGCGUGACUAUGUUCGUUGUUUCCUGUAUUUGAGCUUAACAUGUUGCUGUUGAAUUCAAUCUAUAUCAAUACCACUCAAAGGCAAUUUGAAUAGAGUCUAACAUCACUGUUGGACAAUCAUAGUUUUGGUUGCACCAAUCCACAUCAAUUGUUUUGUUCAAGUUUUGUCAGCGUAAUUAUCAAUUUACCUUUCCCCAAGAAAAAAAAAAGGC
RNAcentral lists this long non-coding RNA (1566 nucleotides) under Vigna radiata. Its description in RNAcentral is "long non-coding RNA (VRAD_LNC007996)". Lineage: Eukaryota; Viridiplantae; Streptophyta; Magnoliopsida; Fabales; Fabaceae. The record is from RNAcentral.